This 728-nucleotide long non-coding RNA is filed under the name Carica papaya (papaya). Its description in RNAcentral is "long non-coding RNA (CPAP_LNC006804)". The record is from RNAcentral. Lineage: Eukaryota; Viridiplantae; Streptophyta; Magnoliopsida; Brassicales; Caricaceae.
CCAUCCUUAUUUUCCAAUCCUAGUAGCUCUAAAUUUUGAAUUCACAUGUCUUAUCCGACUUUAUACCUAUCAAAAGUUCCGAAGCUAAGGCAUGUGACAACCUAGUAGCCCUUGAAGUUCUGCUGCUCACAAGACUGAUCACCAGCAACUUCACUUUUAUUUUCACGCCAAGCAUCAAACAGAAGCUUAACACCAGCAUUCUAUCAAAAAAUCAAGGCUACACCUCCUCUGGUUUAAAUUUGGGAUUUAUGCAUAAUUCUUUUAUGAAAGAUUUUAUUAAUUGCUAGUUUAGUUAGGAUAUCUAAUUAGAUUUUGUGAUUUAAUUCUCAGUCUAAUUAGUUAACCCACAAAUUUACACUCUUUCGAGACUAGUUGAAUGAUUAAGUCCGUAAGCGCAUGUGACUCCAAUUGAUUUCAUUCAUUCAUCCAAGGAUGUUAUAGAGUUCAAAGAGUUUUCUCUUGAGAAUAAAAUUAUUAAGGUUUUAUUUUUUAUUUUCUUAGAGAAACUAAAAAUAUUUCUAUAUCGUGUUGGUAGAUUCCAAGAUUUCUUAAUGAGUUUCACAUACUCGUCAAGCUUUGAUGGUAUCAAAGCUAAUUUUCAUAACCUUGAAUAUGUUUUGUGCUCCUUGUUGCUUCAAAAAAGGUUUUGCUUGCACUUACUUUCCCUUUUCCAACUUGAUUUCACAGACUUCUGCAGCAGCAAUUGUAACCCCCACCAACCAUCUUNN